Cucurbita maxima (winter squash) is the source of this 217-nucleotide long non-coding RNA. RefSeq lists it as uncharacterized. The transcript is spliced from 2 exons. Lineage: Eukaryota; Viridiplantae; Streptophyta; Magnoliopsida; Cucurbitales; Cucurbitaceae. The record is from RefSeq and is a predicted model, not a curated record.
AAAGAAUUGACGGAAGGGCACCACCAGGAGUGGAGCCUGCGACUUAAUUUGACUCAACAAGGGGAAACUUACCAGGUCCAGACAUAGUAACGAUUUGUCUGGUUAAUUCCGUUAAUGAACGAGACCUCAGCCUGCUAACUAGCUAUGCGGAGGAAUCCCUCCGCGGCCAGCUUCUUAGAGGGACUAUGGCCGCUUAGGCCAAGGAAGUUUGAGGCAA